RNAcentral lists this ribosomal RNA (508 nucleotides) under uncultured bacterium. Its description in RNAcentral is "bacterial SSU rRNA". It matches the Rfam family "Bacterial small subunit ribosomal RNA", at positions 15 to 518 of the family's 1533-position model. The record is from RNAcentral.
GAUCAUGGCUCAGGAUGAACGCUAGCUACAGGCUUAACACAUGCAAGUCGAGGGGCAGCAUGACCUAGCAAUAGGUGAUGGCGACCGGCGCACGGGUGAGUAACACGUAUCCAACCUACCGGUUAUUCCGGGAUAGCCUUUCGAAAGAAAGAUUAAUACCGGAUAGUAUAGCGAGAAGGCAUCUUCUUGUUAUUAAAGAAUUUCGAUAACCGAUGGGGAUGCGUUCCAUUAGUUUGUUGGCGGGGUAACGGCCCACCAAGACAUCGGUGGAUAGGGGUUCUGAGAGGAAGGUCCCCCACAUUGGAACUGAGACACGGUCCAAACUCCUACGGGAGGCAGCAGUGAGGAAUAUUGGUCAAUGGACGAGAGUCUGAACCAGCCAAGUAGCGUGAAGGAUGACUGCCCUAUGGGUUGUAAACUUCUUUUAUAUGGGAAUAAAGUGAGCCACGUGUGGCUUUUUGUAUGUACCAUACGAAUAAGGAUCGGCUAACUCCGUGCCAGCCGCAGC